GACGAACGCUGGCGGCGUGCUUAACACAUGCAAGUCGAACGGUGAAGGGACCGGUUUUUGCUGGUUCUGGAUGAGUGGCGAACGGGUGAGUAACACGUGAGUAACCUGCCCCCUUCUUCUGGAUAACCGCAUGAAAGUGUGGCUAAUACGGGAUAUUCUGCGCCUGCUGCAUGGUGGGUGUGGGAAAGAUAUUGUUUCGGUGGGGGAUGGGCUCGCGGCCUAUCAGCUUGUUGGUGGGGUGAUGGCCUACCAAGGCGGUGACGGGUAGCCGGCCUGAGAGGGUAGACGGUCAAAGUGGGAAUGAAACACGGCCCAGACAACAACGGGAGGAAGCAGAGGGGAAUAUUGCACAAUGGGCGCAAGGCUGAUGCAGCGACGCCGCGUGAGGGAAGGAAGACUACGGGUUGUAACCCUCUUUCGCGAGUGAAGAAGGCCUGUCCCUUUUGUGGGUGGGUUGACGGUAGCUGGAUAAGAAGCGCCGGCUAACUACGUG
This 493-nucleotide ribosomal RNA is filed under the name uncultured bacterium. RNAcentral describes it as "partial 16S ribosomal RNA". It matches the Rfam family "Bacterial small subunit ribosomal RNA", at positions 28 to 507 of the family's 1533-position model. The record is from RNAcentral.